This 311-nucleotide unclassified non-coding RNA is filed under the name uncultured fungus. RNAcentral describes it as "partial contains small subunit ribosomal RNA, internal transcribed spacer 1, and 5.8S ribosomal RNA". The stretch from base 1 to 73 matches the Rfam family "Eukaryotic small subunit ribosomal RNA", at positions 1759 to 1831 of the family's 1831-position model. The record is from RNAcentral. Lineage: Eukaryota; Fungi.
GCAAACUUGGUCAUUUAGAGGAAGUAAAAGUCGUAACAAGGUCUCCGUAGGUGAACCUGCGGAGGGAUCAUUUGAAAAUUGGGAAUUCCGAGCCGACUGAUAGUUGGGGGUUUGUUGGGGGUUUCCUCCAUGGCACCCGGCCGCCAGCGGUCUCGGAAUUACUCUCUUCAGCCUGUGGAAACGAGCUGUGCUUCGGCGUCCCUUUGUGGCGCCGCCUUCAUGCCGUCUGGCUUGUCUUGUCUGUUAUGAAACGAAAAAUCAAAACUUUCAACAAAGGAUCUCUUGGCUCUCGCAUCGAUGAAGAACGCAGC